This 948-nucleotide ribosomal RNA is filed under the name potato plant root bacterium RC-III-71. RNAcentral describes it as "bacterial SSU rRNA". It matches the Rfam family "Bacterial small subunit ribosomal RNA", at positions 9 to 959 of the family's 1533-position model. The record is from RNAcentral.
GAGUUUGAUCAUGGCUCAGGAUGAACGCUAGCGGCAGGCCUAACACAUGCAAGUCGAGGGGUAGAGGAAGCUUGCUUCCUUGAGACCGGCGCACGGGUGCGUAACGCGUAUGCAAUCUGCCUUAUACUAAGGGAUAGCCCAGAGAAAUUUGGAUUAAUACCUUAUAGUAUAUAGAUGUGGCAUCACAUUUAUAUUAAAGAUUUAUCGGUAUAAGAUGAGCAUGCGUCCCAUUAGCUAGUUGGUAUGGUAACGGCAUACCAAGGCAAUGAUGGGUAGGGGUCCUGAGAGGGAGAUCCCCCACACUGGUACUGAGACACGGACCAGACUCCUACGGGAGGCAGCAGUGAGGAAUAUUGGUCAAUGGGCGCAAGCCUGAACCAGCCAUGCCGCGUGCAGGAUGACGGUCCUAUGGAUUGUAAACUGCUUUUGUACGGGAAGAAACAACUCUUCGUGAAGAGUCUUGACGGUACCGUAAGAAUAAGGAUCGGCUAACUCCGUGCCAGCAGCCGCGGUAAUACGGAGGAUCCAAGCGUUAUCCGGAAUCAUUGGGUUUAAAGGGUCCGUAGGCGGUUUUAUAAGUCAGUGGUGAAAUCCGGCAGCUCAACUGUCGAACUGCCAUUGAUACUGUAAGACUUGAAUUAUUAUGAAGUAACUAGAAUAUGUAGUGUAGCGGUGAAAUGCUUAGAUAUUACAUGGAAUACCAAUUGCGAAGGCAGGUUACUAAUAAUAUAUUGACGCUGAUGGACGAAAGCGUGGGGAGCGAACAGGAUUAGAUACCCUGGUAGUCCACGCCGUAAACGAUGGAUACUAGCUGUUCGGUAGCAAUACUGAGUGGCUAAGCGAAAGUGNUNAGUAUCCCACCUGGGGAUGACGAACGCAAGUUUGAAACUCAAAGGAAUUGACGGGGGCCCGCACAAGCGGUGGAGCAUGUGGUUUAAUUCGAUGAUA